Long non-coding RNA from Sinocyclocheilus rhinocerous, 121 nucleotides. RefSeq lists it as uncharacterized. The transcript has 3 exons. NCBI's taxonomy places the organism in Eukaryota, Metazoa, Chordata, Actinopteri, Cypriniformes, Cyprinidae. The record is from RefSeq and is a predicted model, not a curated record.
UGAUAGGAAAUGUCCCAUAGAUGAAUUGCAGAUGAGCAAACACUCUAAAAAAUAGGUCUUGCAGAUAUAAAUACAGACGUCAAAUAGACGUCUCUGUGAUGUACAUUACACUGUCAGUCAA